AUGCACUCACCUCCCUUCGGGGUAUUGCAAGGGGGAGGCCGAGAGAGUUCCCAGCCGGCAGCUCGUAUGGAGAGCCGGGGUCUCCAUCGCCUUCCUUCCUCCCCUGCCUGUCAGCUCUUCCCGGCUUCAGUCUCUUCAGGAAGGCGCUCCUCCAUCUCUGCUUCCAGCCUGGAAGGAGGAGGAAGAAGCCUGGGAGGGAGCUGCGCAUGCGCGCGCCGGGCUCGCGCCAUCUCUGGGGUCCCCGACGAGGCCCGGGCCUGCCAAGACUCAAACGUCUCAGGAGGAGACUGUUCCAAUGUUAAGUUCGGAAAAACCUGUCUAUUCCAACAUUAUUUGCUGAGGCUGAAAAGAUUGUUUUCUGCUUUGAGGGGCAUCUGUAGCCGGGACAACUUGAAACCCUAUUGCCAUUUGAAUUGA
Anolis carolinensis (green anole) is the source of this 417-nucleotide long non-coding RNA. The record is from Ensembl. Lineage: Eukaryota; Metazoa; Chordata; Lepidosauria; Squamata; Anolidae.